UGCCCAGCAACUUCUAUACCUACCUCCUCGUGGUACUGGCCGGGGUACGAGUAACCUUGGGGAAGAUCGGGUAACCAACCCGCGGUGGGAACUUUGGUCGUAUGCUGACAGGGAAGG
Aedes aegypti (yellow fever mosquito) is the source of this 117-nucleotide non-coding RNA. The record is from Rfam. Lineage: Eukaryota; Metazoa; Arthropoda; Insecta; Diptera; Culicidae.